RNAcentral lists this unclassified non-coding RNA (308 nucleotides) under uncultured bacterium. Its description in RNAcentral is "partial 16S-23S ribosomal RNA intergenic spacer". The record is from RNAcentral.
GUCGACCAUCAAUCGACUAGGUUGAGCAAACUUAAGCGGCACACAUUACCUUCCUUUUACUGUUGAAAGCAUUCGCUAUCUCAACAGGAAAAUGUAAACCUCAAAUGGCGUAUCACGGAAGUGAUACAUCGCAAGCAUCGAGACGGGUUACUUGUUGAACCCGUCAACCGAUACUCACUGAGUAUAAUCGGUGCUUGAGAAUACUCUGUGCUUGGGCGAUGCACUCAUGCAUCGCAUGAGAUCAUGCCUAAGCACAGUGACCAAAUUUUUUGGUCAAGUUUUUAAGAGCUGCUGGUGGAUGCCUUGGC